Piloderma croceum F 1598 is the source of this 187-nucleotide small nuclear RNA. It matches the Rfam family "U2 spliceosomal RNA". Rfam says of the family: U2 is a small nuclear RNA (snRNA) component of the spliceosome (involved in pre-mRNA splicing). Complementary binding between U2 snRNA (in an area lying towards the 5' end but 3' to hairpin I) and the branchpoint sequence (BPS) of the intron results the bulging out of an unpaired adenosine, on the BPS, which initiates a nucleophilic attack at the intronic 5' splice site, thus starting the first of two transesterification reactions that mediate splicing. The record is from Rfam. Lineage: Eukaryota; Fungi; Basidiomycota; Agaricomycetes; Atheliales; Atheliaceae.
ACACCUAGAUUAAGCUGAUAUCAAUUCUCUUCAGUCUGUUCUUAAUAGUUUAACCACUAUUAUGAAGGCACCGCCUUCAUUUCUGGUUAUCUUAUUUUUGCCGCCCUUGUCCUCCUGUGCUCUGCUUGCAACACGGGAGGCGUGAUGACCUUGGUAUUGCACUACCGCUUUGUGUCGUCGGGGGAUC